CCUACGGGAGGCAGCAGUGGGGAAUAUUGGGCAAUGGGCGCAAGCCUGACCCAGCAACGCCGCGUGAAGGAAGAAGGCUUUCGGGUUGUAAACUUCUUUUCUCAGGGACGAAGCAAGUGACGGUACCUCAGGAAUAAGCCACGGCUAACUACGUGCCAGCAGCCGCGGUAAUACGUAGGUGGCAAGCGUUAUUCGGAUUCAUUGGGUGUAAAGCGCGAGUAGGCGGGAUAGCAAGUCAGAUGUGAAAUCCUAUGGCUUAACCAUAGAACUGCAUGUGAAACUGUUUUUCUAGAGUAUGGGAGAGGUAGGCGGAAUUCUUGGUGUAGCGGUGAAAUGCGUAGAGAUAAAGAGGAACACUAGUGGCGAAGGCGGCCUGCUAG
RNAcentral lists this ribosomal RNA (380 nucleotides) under uncultured bacterium. RNAcentral's name for it is "partial 16S ribosomal RNA". It matches the Rfam family "Bacterial small subunit ribosomal RNA", at positions 338 to 732 of the family's 1533-position model. The record is from RNAcentral.